Molecule: ribosomal RNA, 449 nt
Filed under: Caracolus carocolla
Lineage: Eukaryota; Metazoa; Mollusca; Gastropoda; Stylommatophora; Solaropsidae
Description: partial 16S ribosomal RNA
Source: RNAcentral
AGCCUGAUGUUUUUUAUAUUAGGUAAGCUCUGCUCAAUGAUUUUAUUAAAUAGCCGCAGUACUUUGACUGUGCAAAGGUAGCAUAAUAAUUUGGCUUUUAAUUGGAGUCUGGAAUGAAUGGGUACAUGGAUAUAGGCUGUCUUAUACUAAUUACUUAUAACUUUUUUAAUUAAGUGAAAAUACUUAAAGAAAUAUAAUAGACGAGAAGACCCUAGAAAUUUUAAAUUAAUAGGUUUUUUUUUACUUUAUAUUUUUGUUGGGGCAACAAGAUUACAUUGUAAAAUAGUUUUUUUUAUAUUCAAUUUAGAAGAAUUUAUUAAGAAAAAUUAAAUUACUCUAGGGAUAACAGCAUAAUUUAUUUAUAAGUUUGUGACCUCGAUGUUGGAUUAGGAAUAAGUUAGAUUAGAAGUUUAACUUUUGGUUCUGUUCGAACUUAAUUUUCCUACAUG